CUGGAAACACCCGCAGUCAGGAAGUGGCGAGGUACAGAGGGACAGAGAUGGGUCCCUUGUCCUGAGCCUCGGACAGGCCAGGCUGGCGUUUCAGAGUGGUGGCCAGCGGUGCCUGGAGGCCCCCAAACCUGCAACUCUCCCAGGCUCUGAGGCUCGACACAUCUUGGUUCGAAUCCUUCCUCUGCCACCCAGCAGCUUUGUGACCUUGGGCUCACGGCAUCAGCUCUGGGCCGUGGCAUCCUCAGCCCUGAAGUAGGAGUGUUCGCCCUUUGUGGGUCAGGCGACCAUAAGUGGCACCUGGGACUUGUGUUAUUGUCCCUGGCAUCACCCCUGCACUGCUGAUGUCUCUGACCCAAGCCUAGCAGUGUUGUGGCCCCCUCUGCCUACGCAAGGUUCUAAAGAAAUCCAGGCACCUGGGGAUGGGCCCUGUCUCCCGAAACUCCCUGUUCCUGAUUGCUCGCCAAGGGCAGCUCAGGGAGAUUUCCAUGGAAGCCAAGUGCUAUUUCUGUGGGGCUGGCACUCCCAGUGGGGCCCGAGAGCCAGCUUCUACUGCCACCUCGGUUCCCAGGGGACCGUCAGGGAGCCACGGUUUACCCACCUUUGACGGGGCCAGUGACCUCCCAUCUUCAAGCACCGGUUCGCUGAUUUUAGGGUCUCAAGGAUCAGCAGACUUGACUGGAAAAGUUAACAACCAAUGUUAAAAACUCACCAAGUACAGUUUUGAACAAAGCA
This is a long non-coding RNA of Suricata suricatta (meerkat), 732 nucleotides long. RefSeq lists it as uncharacterized. The transcript is spliced from 2 exons. Lineage: Eukaryota; Metazoa; Chordata; Mammalia; Carnivora; Herpestidae. The record is from RefSeq and is a predicted model, not a curated record.